RNAcentral lists this small RNA (2028 nucleotides) under Rattus norvegicus (Norway rat). RNAcentral's name for it is "uncharacterized LOC108350949". The record is from RNAcentral. Lineage: Eukaryota; Metazoa; Chordata; Mammalia; Rodentia; Muridae.
GCAUCUCUAAGGUUUCAGCCAAAGCUGUACACUGAGGCCUUGUCUUCAGCAACGGCAGCAAAACCCUGUUCCACUGAAGAUAGUGAGGAAUGUGAUAAGGAGUAAUAGAUGCUCUUGCAAGUUAGAGAGAAAGGCUAACUGCUAACAUGUAAGAAAAUGCUGAGGAAAUUUAGUUUUUAGAUAGCAAAUUAAAGGAAUAGAGGUGCACACUAACUAGUAUAUUGGCAAACUUCCUGAGAUGCAUGUGCAUGGUAAUUAGAAGCAUAUUGACUUUUAAAUGUCAGCCAGCUUUUAUUCUCUUCCUCCUAGUGUCUGUUUGUAUGAACAGUGAUUAUUUUUACUUUUCAAGGGGGUUAUCAAGUUUUCUGUGAACAUUUGUUAAUUACUACUACUAUAUAUAGCUGCUACCAGCAAUGGUUCAGGGUUUUCUUGGUUGAAUUUCUUAGUUGUUAAAGCAUUGUUAAGACUUUCUCAUUUCAUUAUUGAGGUUUGGGGGCAUAGCCUAUGAAUCCAGUAAACUGAUGCUCUUAGUUGUGUCCCUUAUAGUAUAUUAUUGACAUAUUAUCAGUUACAUUCUAAGAGGAAAAGAGAACUGGGCUAAAUUAGUUUACUUGAGACUUGUGUAUGCCUGCUAUUAGUAUAUUCUGUUAGUGUGUUUUAUUGGCUAUAGGGGCUAUAGGAGCAGACAGCGUUUAAAGGAGACUGAACCUCUGCCCUGUUUCACAUUUUAGGAUGCUUACUUUCUUAAUCUCACUAGGGAGUCCAAUGGAGAAAAAGCACACAUCUCCCUCCAGUGAACAACUAAAGACUACACAAGCAUCAAAAAUAUUCUAGUUUCAGAAAAGGAAAAAUAUUAUAUAGAAGAAUGAGAGAUAUGUAUUUUGAUGUGGACUACGAAUAUAACUGUAUACAGAGGACUUGUCUUUAUGUAUGAGGCUCUAAGGUCAAGUCCCAGCACCACAAACAAGACCCACUUGGAUUUUUGGAGCAAUUAAGAAUGAGAAACCACUGAUUGCAAUUAAGAAUAGGACCAUAAUCCCAGCACUUGGGAGGCUUAGGUAGGCCACCAUGAAUUAGAAGCCCUCUUGGGCUGCAAGUAAGUCUGUCUUAAGAAGGGAAAACAAGAGGCUACUGAGAUAGUUCAGGGGUAAAUAACCCCAGGUGCUUUUCUAGAAAGACUUGGGUUUGAUUUUCAGCACCUAUGUGGGAACUUAAAACUAUCUUUUUUAAAAAAAUUUUUUCCUUUCAUAUAAUACAUCCCAACUGCAGUCUCCCUUCCCCCAGCCUUCCCCUCUCUUUCCCAUGUCUGUUCCCCCCACUUUGCCUUUCCUCAGAAAAGAGCAGGCUUCUCAGGGACAUCAAACACAAGCGUCAAUAAGACCAGCCAUAUACCAUUAUAUCAAGGCUGGACGAGACUACCCAGUUGGAGAAACAGGUUCCCACCAGCAGGCAAAGGCAUCAGAGACAGCCCCUGUCCCCACUAUUAGGGACCCCACAAGAACAUGCAGCUAGCUAUUUAGCCACAACAUGUGUCAGAGGACCAGGUCAGAUCUCUGCAAGCCCCCGUGAGUCCUGUCAGUUGAUUUUGCAGGCCAUGUUCUAGGAGUGUCCCUAACCUUUCUGGUUCUUCAGAUCCUUCCUCCACCUCCCCUACAGGACUCCGGGAGCUCUGCCUAAUGUUUGGCCAUGGGACUGGCUCUCAUCUGCUCCCAUUAGCUGCUGGAUGGAGUCUGGCUGGUCUCUGAUGACAGUUUAUGCUAGUCUCCAGUUGCAGAACACUCUGCAGGCAGGUUGAAGGGUUUAUGGCUGGGUUGGUAUACCUGUCCCUCCACUUUAGGCCUUACCUGCUUACAGAAGAUGCCUGGGUCAGGCUCCCUGACCCCAACUACUAGGAGUCUUUGCUAGCAUAACCAUCUCUGGUAUCUCAAGUUCAGAACUCAAGUUCUGAGGGACCUGAGGCCCUCUUUUGGCCUCUUUUGGCCCUCUUUUGGGCAACCAGGCAUGCAUGUGGCACACUAGACAUAUAUG